CAUGAAGACCAGAAGGAAGUGACACAAGUUUUCAAAUGCUGAAAGAAAAGUCUUAUCAAACCAGGAUUUUAUAUUCAACAAAAAAUUCCUUCAGGAAUGAAGGAUUAACAAAGAUAUAGUCAAAUGAGGGAAAACUAAGAGAGUUUAUUGCCAUCAGACCUGUGCUAAAAGAAUUGCUUAAAAAAAUUCUUCAGACAGAAGGGAAAUGAUAAGAAAUGGAACUUGGAACUUCAAAAAUAAAAGAAGAUCAACAGAAAUAGCCACAUAAAUAGAGUAGACUAUUUUUCUCCUUUUGAGUUCUUUUUUCCUUUUUUCUAUUUGUGUAAAUUUAGGGAGUACAAGCACAGUUUUGUUACAUGGAUACUUUGCAUAGUGGUAAAACCUGAGCUUUUAAUGUAACCACCACCCAAACAAUGUCAUUUGUACACCUUAAGUAAUUUCUCAUCCCUCACCCUCUUCCUACUCUUCCUCCCUUCCAAGUAUUCAGCCUUUAUUAUUCCACACUCUAUGUCCAUGUGUACACCUUUUUAAGGCCCUAUUUAUAAGUGAGAACAUGUGGUAGUAUAUAACUAUAUUCCAUGGAAUGCUACUCAGCCAUAAAAAAAGAGUGAAAUCAUGUCUUUUGCAGCAACAUGGGUGGAACUAGAGACCAUUAUCUUAAAUCAAAUAACUCAGAAACAGAAAGCCAAAUACUACCACGUGUUCUCACUUAUAAGGAGAGCAGAGGAAGACAGAUUACCCCAAGAAUCUAGGAUAUGGGUGCAAAAGAAAGGAUGGAAUCUUCAACUCCAAAAUGCAGCAUCACCCUGUUUUAUCUAAGUUAUCUAGUUUACCAGCCUGGAGUUAUCUGUAGUAUGUGAUAGUAUAGUAUAGCAUACAUUUUCCCCCUUUUAGUAUCUACAUGGUUUGUAAUGAUUUCCCCUCUUUCAUUCUUGGGGUAAUCUGUCUUCCUCUACUCUCCUGACACAUACUUUGGGCAGAUCCCACCUCUAGGUACAGAAUGUGAUUGGCAAUUCCUGUGGACCAAUCUGAGCAUUGCUUUCACUUGGCUGUCCUGAUUGCUUUGAAUGGAGAGAGUAAGGCGCAUCAGGCAGAUACAAAGCAUUUUGCUGAGAUUACUGGCACUAUAUAAACCCUGCACUCCCAGGGAGCAGUAGAAAUCUUGAGAAUGGAUCCAUUAGAGUGUAAGGCAGACGUUAAAGAUGGAGAAACCAACUUCUAAUGACAGCUUGGAGCAUCUGGAUCUAGUCCCAGACUUUUUAGUUAUUGGCCAUGGGUGCAGUGUCUGCCAUGCAGAGGAGAAGCCGCUGGUUGUAGCAGCAACACUCCAGCUUACCUGGAGCAAAGUGCAUAAAGGAAAGGCCAUGUGAGGACACAGCAAGAAGGCGGCCCUCUGCAACCUGACCAGCAAGAUCUCACCAGAAACCACCCCUGCUUGCACUGUGAUCUUGGAAUUCUAGCCUCUAGAACUGUGAAACAAUAAACUGUUGUUUAAGCCACUUGGCCUGUGGUAUUUUGUUACAGCAGCCUGAACUGACUAAUACAAUCACUAAAUUAUCAAAAAGUGGAAUUAAAAGUGUUAUAUCUGUUUCACUCAAGAUAUGAGUAGGAAACAGAGAAGAGUUAGACAAAAAAAAAACAAAAAACAGAUAAACAGAAAUUUAGUAAAUAUUUGCUGAGUAAUGAAUUUAGACAUUUUGCUUUUUGAUAUGCUUUCAAGAACUUCAAUGAGGUAUAACUGACAUUCAAUAAACCACAAUUAUUAAAAUGUACAAUUUGAUGUGCUUUGCCAUAUGAAACCAUCAUCAAAAAUCAAGAUCAUAAACACAACUAUCACCUUCCAAAUCUCCUUGGAUACCUAUAAUUCCUCCGUCUGCCCCUUCCUAAUCUGCCCCCUGCCAUCCUACAAGAGGAAACCUCUGAUCUGUUUUCUGGCACUAUAGAUCUGUAGGUUAAUGAUAAUUUUCUAGAAUUUUAUAUAAAUAGAAUCAUAUGGGAUGUAAUCUUUUUUUGAUUUUUUUCCACUCACCAUCAUUAUUCUGAGAUUCAUCCAUGUUGUUGCUUAUAUCAGUGUUUUAUUCCUUUUGAUUACUGAGUGAUAUUCUGUUGUGUAUACUGUCAUUCGUUUAUUCAUUUAUAUGUUGAUGGACUUUUGGCUUGUUUCCAGUUUUAGGCUAUUACCAAAUAAAGUGCAAAUCUUUCUAUGGAUAGUUUCAUUUUUAUUGGAUCAACUAGGAGGUGUAUAUUUAACUGUUAAACUGCCAAUUUUUUUCCAAAGUGGCUGUACCAUUUCACCUCCUGCCAGCAGUGCAUGAGAGUCCUAGUUCCUCCAAAUCCUAGCCAACACCUGACGGUCAUUUUAAUCUGAGCCAUU
This 2374-nucleotide long non-coding RNA is filed under the name Homo sapiens (human). RNAcentral describes it as "HSALNT0265422". Lineage: Eukaryota; Metazoa; Chordata; Mammalia; Primates; Hominidae. The record is from RNAcentral.